ACACAUUGACUCACGAACAUUU
Molecule: small nuclear RNA, 22 nt
Filed under: Arabidopsis thaliana (thale cress)
Lineage: Eukaryota; Viridiplantae; Streptophyta; Magnoliopsida; Brassicales; Brassicaceae
Description: snRNA_00644
Source: RNAcentral